UACGUAGGGGGCUAGCGUUGUCCGGAAUCAUUGGGCGUAAAGAGCGUGUAGGCGGGCCGGUAAGUCCGCUGUGAAAGUCCAGGGCUCAACCCUGGGAUGCCGGUGGAUACUGUCGGGCUCGAGUCCGGAAGAGGCGAGUGGAAUUCCAGGUGUAGCGGUGAAAUGCGUAGAUAUCAGGAAGAACACCCGUGGCUAAGGCGGCUCUCUAGUACGGUACUGACGCUGAGACGCGAAAGCGUGGGGAGCGAACAGG
This 253-nucleotide ribosomal RNA is filed under the name uncultured bacterium. RNAcentral's name for it is "partial 16S ribosomal RNA". It matches the Rfam family "Bacterial small subunit ribosomal RNA", at positions 524 to 776 of the family's 1533-position model. The record is from RNAcentral.